Molecule: ribosomal RNA, 464 nt
Filed under: uncultured bacterium
Lineage: Bacteria
Description: partial 16S ribosomal RNA
Rfam family: Bacterial small subunit ribosomal RNA
Source: RNAcentral
GACGAACGCUGGCGGCGUGCUUAACACAUGCAAGUCGAACGGAAAGGCCCCUUUGGGGGUACUUGAGUGGCGAACGGGUGAGUAACACGUGAGUAACCUGCCCUUGACUUCGGGAUAACUUCAGGAAACUGGGGCUAAUACCGGAUAGGAAUCCUUGCUGCAUGGUGGGGUUGGAAAGCUUCGGCGGUUUUGGAUGGACCCACGGCUUAUCAGCUUGUUGGUGGGGUAGUGGCUUACCAAGGCUUUGACGGGUAGCCGGCCUGAGAGGGCGACCGGCCACAUUGGGACUGAGAUACGGCCCAGACUCCUACGGGAGGCAGCAGUGGGGAAUAUUGCACAAUGGGCGGAAGCCUGAUGCAGCAACGCCGCGUGCGGGAUGACGGCCUUCGGGUUGUAAACCGCUUUCAGCAGGGGCGAAGCUUGUGGUGACGGUACCUGCAGAAGAAGCACCGGCUAACUACGUG